RNAcentral lists this ribosomal RNA (253 nucleotides) under uncultured bacterium. RNAcentral's name for it is "partial 16S ribosomal RNA". It matches the Rfam family "Bacterial small subunit ribosomal RNA", at positions 524 to 776 of the family's 1533-position model. The record is from RNAcentral.
UACGUAGGGGGCAAGCGUUGUCCGGAUUUAUUGGGCGUAAAGAGCGUGUAGGCGGCCCGAUUAGUCCGCUGUGAAAGUCCAGGGCUCAACCCUGGAAUGCCGGUGGAUACUGUCGGGCUAGAGUCCGGAAGGGGCGAGGGGAAUUCCUGGUGUAGCGGUGAAAUGCGCAGAUAUCAGGAGGAACACCAAUGGCGAAGGCAGCUCGCUGGGACGUGACUGACGCUGAGACGCGAAAGCGUGGGGAGCAAACAGG